RNAcentral lists this long non-coding RNA (1602 nucleotides) under Mytilus galloprovincialis (Mediterranean mussel). The record is from RNAcentral. Lineage: Eukaryota; Metazoa; Mollusca; Bivalvia; Mytilida; Mytilidae.
GUAGGUUUGUUUUUACCGAUGGAUUAACUAUCGCUAAGGUGAAGAAUCGCAUUAAAAUAAUGCGAAGAUUUUAAGAUCUUCCCAGCUAUAUUAUAGUGCACAUUGGGAAAUGAUAUAUAUAAAAUAUCAAACUAGGUUACUUUCAUCAUUAGCUUGUUCAAUUUAUGUCAAGGUUAUAUAUUGAUUUGCCUGAUACAACUUGAUUUGGUCUCAAGUUCUAUUGCCAAGACUGCAAUGACGGUCUUCAAAUAAUGGGAAUUGUAAUGUAUGGACAAGUGCAGGCGUCGGUUAAACAGCUUCAUUGUUGUCCACAUGACAAAGCAUGGAUGUUACAUUCGAUAUCCUUACAUAAAAGCUAAACACGAGUCUCUAGCAGAAGAUGGGGUGUAUUUAACAAAGAGAAGAACAUUUUUUUCUGAACUUAAUACAGGGAGCCCUAGAAACAAUAAUUUCUAGUAAGACGGGUAGCAUUACUUUUCCAGACGACUAUUCCAUGCUUUGAAUUUUUAUAGUUGACUCGUUGUCCGUAACAAAUGCCUAUAUAUGAUCUUAGUGAACAGUUAAACGAAACAUCGGCGUUAUUGGGCUGUUUUAUAAAUAAUACAAAUAGUUGCUUGUUAAUUUACAAUUUAUACCAUAUAAUGGCAUAUUCAUUUAUCAGAAAAUUAUUUUAAUCAAAUUUUGCUUGAAAUGGCACAGCUAUGCGCAGCUCCCCCCAAUUUUAUUGGCGGUUGACGGUUCUGUGAAAAUUUUAACUGUAGGCUAAAAUUGUCGCAGCACCGCCAAUUUGGCAGAUUUCGCUGCGCUUAGAUAACAUAUUUGCAGUUUACAGACUUAUUGUAAUCGUAUGAUAGCAUUAGCCUCUGAUUUCCAGGGCUUAAUAGCUUAUCUUGAACUUCCCCUUUUCAUAUAUGGUCUGCCACCUCAAACAUAUUCGGCGAUCAUCAUAUAACAUUUUCAAAGACACAUAUGCAUUUUUAUCAGUUAAUUUUAGUUCAUAGAUCUACAUGUAUCACAAAUUGCAUUUCAUAUAAUAGUACAUAUAUCAUAUCACAAAUUGCAUUUCAUAUAAUAGUACAUAUAUCAUAUCACAAAAUGCAUUUCAUAUAAUAGUACAUAUAUCAUAUCUGUUAAUAAAUGCUGUGGCCAUUUCCUGCCAAUAACAAUCUUGUUAUUUUUUAUGAGCAUCUAAGAUAAUAGGAUUUAAAAUCUAAAUUUUAAAUCAGUUAUCGGUAGUGCUCAUACCACUGUCCGUCGUUAUACUACUUCGUCAAGUAAUAGUAUUUGGUUUCUUGUUGGAUUAUCGAUCUUUGCAAGUGAUUGAUUUACCCAUAAUCCUCCUUUUGACGUCGACAUUUAGGAAAAGCAGACGCAUUUUUAGCCAUAGAUUUAUCUUCUAAAACCCGCCCACCCUCCCUUAAAUUAGUAGAAUGCAAUUCCUACGGAAGAUACUGCUGUUUGGUUUUGUUUGUUUAUUUCAGAAUUGUAUUGUCUACAUCGAUUAAACCAUCACUCAAUGUGGAAAGAUGUACAAAAGUUUUAAUGACGAGACGGUCAUUCAAGAAAAAAAGACGAAUCCUGGACGAGGAGUGGACUUACAUG